GGCUGAUUUGCUAUCCAAUGAAAAAAUUUACCAAAUGCCAGGUAAAACACUCUCAACGGAUGAAUGAUCCUCCCCUCAGACCUUGGGUAGCAAUAGCGAAAGAUGGUCAGAUCCUGUGCUGCCACUGUACCUGCAUGGCUGGAUUGGGUGAAACAUGUUCACAUUCAGCAGCAUCCCUGUUCGCCCUGGAGACAUUAAUACGUAUGAAGACGGCCACUUCAUGCACAU
Molecule: long non-coding RNA, 228 nt
Organism: Syngnathus acus (greater pipefish)
Lineage: Eukaryota; Metazoa; Chordata; Actinopteri; Syngnathiformes; Syngnathidae
Exons: 3
Source: RefSeq, a predicted model, not a curated record